Castor canadensis (American beaver) is the source of this 549-nucleotide non-coding RNA. NCBI's taxonomy places the organism in Eukaryota, Metazoa, Chordata, Mammalia, Rodentia, Castoridae. The record is from RefSeq and is a predicted model, not a curated record.
AUGAGUAUGCUCAGGCUUCAGAAGAGGGUUGCCUCCAGUGUCCCCCACUGUGGCAAAAAGAAGGUCUAGUUGAAUCCCAAUGAGACCAAUGAAAUCACCAAUGCCAACUCUCAUCAGCAGAUCCAGAAGCUGAUCAAAGAUGGGCUGAUCAUCUGCAAGCCUGUGACUGUCUAUUCUCAGGCUCAAUACAGGAAAAGCACUUUGGCUCACGGGAAGAGCAGGCAUAUGGCCAUAGGGAAGCAAAAGGGUACAGUCAAUGCCCAAAUGACCUGGAUAAGGAGGGUGCGGAUUCUGUGCAGGCUGCAGGAGACACCAUGAACCUAAGACUGACAGCCACAUGUAUCACAGCCUGUACCUGAAGGUGAAGAGGAAUGUGUUUAAAACAAGCAGAUUCUCAUGAAACACAUUUACAAGCUGAAGGCAGACAAGGCCCACAGCUGAGGCCCACAGGGCUGAGACCAAAGAAGCACGCAAGCUUCUGAGGAGCUCCUCCAUGCCAAAAAGGAGAUCACAAAGACUCCAUCCAAGAAGGAAGAGACCAAGAAGUGA